Molecule: long non-coding RNA, 3159 nt
Organism: Astatotilapia calliptera (eastern happy)
Lineage: Eukaryota; Metazoa; Chordata; Actinopteri; Cichliformes; Cichlidae
Source: Ensembl
UCUUGCAGAUGGUGAGACCCUAAGAUUGUGUUGUAGUGCAGUGUGAGGGGGAACGUUACAUUAAAGAGUAAAAUGAAAGAGAAUGACUCGUGUUGUGAGCUCCAGUCCAUUUUUCUGUGUGCUGGCUGUGAUCAGCUGGAUUCAACAAGGUGAAACAAAUUUUCUGUGAGAUUUAUGCACGACAGAAGCUGUAGAGCCAGAGUGAGUGUCAGCAUCUUUACCAUAAAUACAAAUUCAACUCUUGAUGUAAUCUAGUAACCGACUUAUUAUAGUUUGUGUUUUCAGUUUUUAGUUCACAGCCUUGAUUUUCUUCUUUCUAUUUGAGUUUUUAUUGCUUGAAAAUGUUUUUGUUUUAAUCCCGUUUCUGUUUGUUUCUCUGUUUAAGUCUAAUUAGUUUAAUUAUUAUUACUGCAUGCAGGCCGAUGUCAGAGGCAACAAUUUCAGUACAGGUGUUACAAUAAAAACAACUUGUUAGAGCAGCUGAGUCUAAAUGAAAAUGUCCUUCAACGCCUUUUACCAGACUAAUAGAUACUAAACUAAGAAUAUUUUUCCUCUUUAAUUUAAUUUUAGUUUUCCAAGUUUACAAAAUCAUUUCAGUUUCUUUUGCAAGACUUUUCCCAAAAACAUCAUGAGGAUCUCUCCAACCCCGGGCCCGGUCCCUGAAUCGUUUGCUACCGGGUGGCGAGAGUUCAGGCUCUGGUUUGAAAUUCGUGGUUUUCAGGGUUUUUAGCAUUUUUUUUAUCGUUAACUCGGCUUCCUCAGGUCUUUUCCUGUGUGUUAUGAAUUAAUCUUCUUUUUUUUUUGGUUCUGGUUUUAUUUAUCCGCGACACCUUAAAGGCCGGUCCAUGAAAAUAUUGUCGGACAAAAACCGGUCCGCUGCUCUACAGUGAAUUAGGACGUUACAUGCAAGAUAUAAGUUUGCAGCAUAAAGACUUUCACUUGUUGAGCAGUGCCGGUCUUUGAACACGAGCUCCUCCGCUCAUUCUCAGUGUUGCACUCGAAUGUUUCCUGGGUGAUGCAACAUUUCACUCACAAACACAUUUAGUGACAAACUGCAGGAAACAGUUUGUGUGUUGGGUGAUAUGUUAAUGUUCACUCCUCUGUUGCAGCGUGAUACCUCAAUAACCUGACCUUUACGUCUGCACCGUGCAUGCAUCACAGGGACGAGGAGGAAAGUAAGCAGGCUGUGGCAUGUGAGUACUUUCUUAUAACUGAGCAACCAUCUGUCACACGACAGUAACAUUAACCUGCCUAUCAGAUGUAAUUACUCAUUAACUGAAAGUUCCAGAACGCUUUAACUCCUAAUCAGCAAGUGUAGUUUCUGAGUCUACUGAAGAAGUGGUGGAGGAGGAAGAAGCAGAAAGACAAUCAUGCCAAAACAUUUCUAAUAUCAAAAAGUGCCACUCUGAGAACGACCAGCUUCAUCAUACAGAGUGAAGGAGACUCACACUUUUGUGUUGGGGCUUCUUCACAGCGCUGAAGCUGAUUUCUUAACCUUCAACCACAACAAACAGCUUCUUCUUAUACGCGUUUCUCUUGUGGUUUAACCAGAUCUCUGACAGCAGUUGUUGUUGAUAUGAGAUGCAAGUUGUCCUGUUGUAAAGCCUUAAUGGACCAAUCAGCAUGCAUCAGCAGAAGCCUACCUGAGCUGAGGAAAGCGAGGAGGAUCAUCAAGGACUCCAGUCACCCCAGCCAUAAACUGUUCAGACUGCUUCCAUCAGGAAGGAGGUUCUGCAGCAUCCGGUCCCGUACCAGCAGACUGAGAGACAGCUUCUUCCAUCAGGCCAUCAGACUGCUGAACACGUCAUAGACACCUCAGCUUCACUACUGGAACAUUAUGCACUCCAUACUGUAUAUAAAUGCCACUUGUUUUGCACAUAUUCAACUCUGUAUAUUUUAUAUAUUUUAUUAUUAUUAUUUUUUUUAUUUUUUAUUUUAUUUUAUUAUUAUUAUUUUUUUACUAUUUAAUUUGUAAAAAUGUGUAUACACACACACACACACACACACACACACACACACACACACACACACACACACACACACACACGUAGGAAAAUAUUUAGUAUACACAUCCAGAAAUGCAUACACUAUUAUAUAUUGUACAUAUAUUUAUUAGUUUCAGGUUGGCCAUUCUUGUAUUUUGCUCGUUUGUGUUGUUGUGUUUGCACAUCUCUGUUGCUUGUGGGGCUCGCACACAAGAAUUUCACUCGCAUGUGCUGUGCCAGUGUGCCUGCACAUGUGAUGUGACAAUAAAAGUGAUUUGAUUUGAUUUGAGCUUUGCUGGCGACCGCGUCCAUCCCUUUGUGACCACAGUGUGCCCAUCUUCUGACGGAUGCUUCCAACAGGAGAAUGAUCCAUGUCAUAAAGCUCAAAUAACUUUGAACAGGACAGUGAGGCCUGCACAGACACCAGGUCACAAUCUGUGCUGGAACAGCAACAGUCUAAUCAUUGAUGUGCAGCUGACAAAUUAGCAGCAACUGUGUGAUGCUUCAUGUGCUUCCAUAUGUCAGGACUGAACAAAACCCCACAAGAUAAGCAGAAUACUAUGGGCUCAAAUUGUGGUCAUAAAUACUUUGUACUUGUAAAUCAGGAUUUGUAUGUGUAAUUUGUGUGUGUGUGUAACAAAGAUUUGUGUGUGGACUCAGCCAAAAAAUCUGUGAGAAACUCUGCACUCAAGUUUCAAGUUACAAGUAUGAAUGUUGACCCUAUUUUUCUUCCUUUGAUCUGAUUGGCCAAUGUCAUGUCAAUCACAAAUUUAACUAUCCAAUCAGAGAACAGAUGGGUUUGGCUGUCGGAGGGGCGCUUUUUUGAAGUCCGCACACAAAUUCUUUUUAUACAUACAAAUCCUGAUUUACAAGUACAAAAUAUUUAUGACCACAAUUUGAGCCCAUAGAAUACCAGCGAAUAUAACGCCUGACAUGAGUGUUAUUGUUACUGUAUGUGAUGUGGACUCUUCUUUUAACAAGCCUGAAAUAAUCAUUAUUAAAGUUUAGCUCCAGUCACACAUAUUCUUUGAGGAACAUAUAAUGAGUGCAGCCUUGUAUACAAUAAGAGGAAUAUGAAGUGAGACUCAGUUGUAAAAGGAUAUAAAUGGCAAACUGUUUCUAAAAUCAAAAACAAUCCAUUUUAAGUUAGAAAUAGUUGGAAAUGGGAAAAAUG